This is a non-coding RNA of Janthinobacterium sp. B9-8, 74 nucleotides long. The record is from Rfam. Lineage: Bacteria; Pseudomonadati; Pseudomonadota; Betaproteobacteria; Burkholderiales; Oxalobacteraceae.
CGGGGCGUAGCGCAGCCCGGUAGCGCAUCUGCUUUGGGAGCAGAGGGUCGUGAGUUCGAAUCCCACCGCCCCGA